Small nucleolar RNA from Doryrhamphus excisus (bluestripe pipefish), 81 nucleotides. RefSeq annotates it as small nucleolar RNA snR60/Z15/Z230/Z193/J17. The record is from RefSeq and is a predicted model, not a curated record. NCBI's taxonomy places the organism in Eukaryota, Metazoa, Chordata, Actinopteri, Syngnathiformes, Syngnathidae.
UUGACACUAUGAUGAUUGCAUAGUUCAGCAGACAACCCAUGAAGAAUUAAAAUAGUCUUUCACCCCUAGCUGACGUGUCUA